GUGUCAGCCGCCGCGGUAAGACGAACCGUGCGAACGUUGUUCGGAAUCACUGGGCUUAAAGGGCGCGUAGGCGGGUGACCAAGUCCGGGGUGAAAUCUUUCGGCUUAACCGGAAAAGUGCCUUGGAUACUGGUCGUCUUGAGGGAGGUAGGGGCAGGUGGAACUUCCGGUGGAGCGGUGAAAUGCGUUGAUAUCGGAAGGAACGCCGGUGGCGAAAGCGGCCUGCUGGAUCUCUUCUGACGCUGAGGCGCGAAAGCUAGGGGAGCAAACGGGAUUAGAUACCCCUGUAGUCC
RNAcentral lists this ribosomal RNA (292 nucleotides) under uncultured bacterium. Its description in RNAcentral is "partial 16S ribosomal RNA". It matches the Rfam family "Bacterial small subunit ribosomal RNA", at positions 505 to 796 of the family's 1533-position model. The record is from RNAcentral.